This 2906-nucleotide ribosomal RNA is filed under the name Salmonella enterica subsp. enterica serovar Weltevreden. RNAcentral's name for it is "bacterial LSU rRNA". It matches the Rfam family "Bacterial large subunit ribosomal RNA". The record is from RNAcentral. Lineage: Bacteria; Pseudomonadati; Pseudomonadota; Gammaproteobacteria; Enterobacterales; Enterobacteriaceae. RNAcentral also lists the same sequence under 1 other name.
UUAAGCGACUAAGCGUACACGGUGGAUGCCCUGGCAGUCAGAGGCGAUGAAGGGCGUGCUAAUCUGCGAUAAGCGCCGGUAAGGUGAUAUGAACCGUUAUAACCGGCGAUACCCGAAUGGGGAAACCCAGUGUGACUCGUCACACUAUCAUUAACUGAAUCCAUAGGUUAAUGAGGCGAACCGGGGGAACUGAAACAUCUAAGUACCCCGAGGAAAAGAAAUCAACCGAGAUUCCCCCAGUAGCGGCGAGCGAACGGGGAGGAGCCCAGAGCCUGAAUCAGCAUGUGUGUUAGUGGAAGCGUCUGGAAAGGCGCGCGAUACAGGGUGACAGCCCCGUACACAAAAGCGCAUGUGCUGUGAGCUCGAUGAGUAGGGCGGGACACGUGGUAUCCUGUCUGAAUAUGGGGGGACCAUCCUCCAAGGCUAAAUACUCCUGACUGACCGAUAGUGAACCAGUACCGUGAGGGAAAGGCGAAAAGAACCCCGGCGAGGGGAGUGAAAAAGAACCUGAAACCGUGUACGUACAAGCAGUGGGAGCACAGGUUUACCUGUGUGACUGCGUACCUUUUGUAUAAUGGGUCAGCGACUUAUAUUCUGUAGCAAGGUUAACCGCAUAGGGGAGCCGGAGGGAAACCGAGUCUUAACCGGGCGUUAAGUUGCAGGGUAUAGACCCGAAACCCGGUGAUCUAGCCAUGGGCAGGUUGAAGGUUGGGUAACACUAACUGGAGGACCGAACCGACUAAUGUUGAAAAAUUAGCGGAUGACCUGUGGCUGGGGGUGAAAGGCCAAUCAAACCGGGAGAUAGCUGGUUCUCCCCGAAAGCUAUUUAGGUAGCGCCUCGUGAAUUCAUCUCCGGGGGUAGAGCACUGUUUCGGCUAGGGGGCCAUCCCGGCUUACCAACCCGAUGCAAACUGCGAAUACCGGAGAAUGUUAUCACGGGAGACACACGGCGGGUGCUAACGUCCGUCGUGAAGAGGGAAACAACCCAGACCGCCAGCUAAGGUCCCAAAGUCAUGGUUAAGUGGGAAACGAUGUGGGAAGGCCCAGACAGCCAGGAUGUUGGCUUAGAAGCAGCCAUCAUUUAAAGAAAGCGUAAUAGCUCACUGGUCGAGUCGGCCUGCGCGGAAGAUGUAACGGGGCUAAACCAUGCACCGAAGCUGCGGCAGCGACGCUUAUGCGUUGUUGGGUAGGGGAGCGUUCUGUAAGCCUGUGAAGGUGGCCUGUGAGGGUUGCUGGAGGUAUCAGAAGUGCGAAUGCUGACAUAAGUAACGAUAAAGCGGGUGAAAAGCCCGCUCGCCGGAAGACCAAGGGUUCCUGUCCAACGUUAAUCGGGGCAGGGUGAGUCGACCCCUAAGGCGAGGCCGAAAGGCGUAGUCGAUGGGAAACGGGUUAAUAUUCCCGUACUUGGUGUUACUGCGAAGGGGGGACGGAGAAGGCUAUGUUGGCCGGGCGACGGUUGUCCCGGUUUAAGCGUGUAGGUGUGUGUUCCAGGUAAAUCCGGUUCACUUUAACACUGAGGCGUGACGACGAGGCACUACGGUGCUGAAGCAACAAAUGCCCUGCUUCCAGGAAAAGCCUCUAAGCAUCAGGUAACAUCAAAUCGUACCCCAAACCGACACAGGUGGUCAGGUAGAGAAUACCAAGGCGCUUGAGAGAACUCGGGUGAAGGAACUAGGCAAAAUGGUGCCGUAACUUCGGGAGAAGGCACGCUGACACGUAGGUGAAGUGAUUUACUCAUGGAGCUGAAGUCAGUCGAAGAUACCAGCUGGCUGCAACUGUUUAUUAAAAACACAGCACUGUGCAAACACGAAAGUGGACGUAUACGGUGUGACGCCUGCCCGGUGCCGGAAGGUUAAUUGAUGGGGUCAGCGCAAGCGAAGCUCCUGAUCGAAGCCCCGGUAAACGGCGGCCGUAACUAUAACGGUCCUAAGGUAGCGAAAUUCCUUGUCGGGUAAGUUCCGACCUGCACGAAUGGCGUAAUGAUGGCCAGGCUGUCUCCACCCGAGACUCAGUGAAAUUGAACUCGCUGUGAAGAUGCAGUGUACCCGCGGCAAGACGGAAAGACCCCGUGAACCUUUACUAUAGCUUGACACUGAACAUUGAGCCUUGAUGUGUAGGAUAGGUGGGAGGCUUUGAAGUGUGGACGCCAGUCUGCAUGGAGCCGACCUUGAAAUACCACCCUUUAAUGUUUGAUGUUCUAACGUGGACCCGUGAUCCGGGUUGCGGACAGUGUCUGGUGGGUAGUUUGACUGGGGCGGUCUCCUCCUAAAGAGUAACGGAGGAGCACGAAGGUUGGCUAAUCCUGGUCGGACAUCAGGAGGUUAGUGCAAUGGCAUAAGCCAGCUUGACUGCGAGCGUGACGGCGCGAGCAGGUGCGAAAGCAGGUCAUAGUGAUCCGGUGGUUCUGAAUGGAAGGGCCAUCGCUCAACGGAUAAAAGGUACUCCGGGGAUAACAGGCUGAUACCGCCCAAGAGUUCAUAUCGACGGCGGUGUUUGGCACCUCGAUGUCGGCUCAUCACAUCCUGGGGCUGAAGUAGGUCCCAAGGGUAUGGCUGUUCGCCAUUUAAAGUGGUACGCGAGCUGGGUUUAGAACGUCGUGAGACAGUUCGGUCCCUAUCUGCCGUGGGCGCUGGAGAACUGAGGGGGGCUGCUCCUAGUACGAGAGGACCGGAGUGGACGCAUCACUGGUGUUCGGGUUGUCAUGCCAAUGGCACUGCCCGGUAGCUAAAUGCGGAAGAGAUAAGUGCUGAAAGCAUCUAAGCACGAAACUUGCCCCGAGAUGAGUUCUCCCUGAGACUUAGAGUCUCCUGAAGGAACGUUGAAGACGACGACGUUGAUAGGCCGGGUGUGUAAGCGCAGCGAUGCGUUGAGCUAACCGGUACUAAUGAACCGUGAGGCUUAACCUU